This 445-nucleotide ribosomal RNA is filed under the name uncultured bacterium. RNAcentral describes it as "bacterial SSU rRNA". It matches the Rfam family "Bacterial small subunit ribosomal RNA", at positions 354 to 796 of the family's 1533-position model. The record is from RNAcentral.
GUAAGGAAUAUUGGACAAUGGACGCAAGUCUGAUCCAGCCAUGCCGCGUGAAGGAUUAAGGUCCUCUGGAUUGUAAACUUCUUUUAUAAGGGACGAAAAAAGGCUUUUCUAAGUCGUCUGACGGUACCUUAUGAAUAAGCACCGGCUAACUCCGUGCCAGCAGCCGCGGUAAUACGGAGGGUGCAAGCGUUAUCCGGAUUCACUGGGUUUAAAGGGUGCGUAGGCGGGCAGGUAAGUCAGUGGUGAAAUCCUAGAGCUUAACUCUAGAACUGCCAUUGAUACUAACUGUCUUGAAUAUUGUGGAGGUAAGCGGAAUAUGUCAUGUAGCGGUGAAAUGCUUAGAUAUGACAUAGAACACCUAUUGCGAAGGCAGCUUACUACGCAUAUAUUGACGCUGAGGCACGAAAGCGUGGGGAUCAAACAGGAUUAGAAACCCGAGUAGUCC